UACAGAGGGGGCAAGCGUUAUUCGGAAUUAUUGGGCGUAAAGGGCGCGUAGGCGGCUAUUCAAGUGGCGGGUGAAAUCCCUCGGCUUAACCGAGGAACUGCCUGCCAGACUGGAUGGCUUGAGACCGGGAGAGGUGAGUGGAAUUCCCGGUGUAGCGGUGAAAUGCGCAGAUAUCGGGAGGAACACCAAUGGCGAAGGCAGCUCGCUGGGACGGUACUGACGCUGAGACGCGAAAGCGUGGGGAGCAAACAGG
RNAcentral lists this ribosomal RNA (253 nucleotides) under uncultured bacterium. RNAcentral's name for it is "partial 16S ribosomal RNA". It matches the Rfam family "Bacterial small subunit ribosomal RNA", at positions 524 to 776 of the family's 1533-position model. The record is from RNAcentral.